GUACUACUGAUUUUACCAGUUGGAUUUUUGGGAAAUGCUGCUAAAAAAAUCAACCACUUACGGAGGCAUCUCUUCUGAACAAUUUUGGGUUACCUUGCUCGAGGACACAAUGGCCAUAGCCCUGCAUACGUCACUGUGGGAUUUCAAUGUGUUUUACUCUUUUGAAGUAAAGGGCAGAGGUGUAUACUAAAGUAUUUUAGUUACAUUUUCCAAGCAUCUGUGCUUUAUCAGAGUGUUUGUCUUGGAAAAAAUGUACUUUACUAAAAAAUGUUCACUACAUUCUAAAGCAUAGAAUCAUACUGUGUAUUCUUUAAUUUUGCAUAUAAAAAAUUGUGUUUUUUUACUUUCUUGAGUAAAAGUACGAAAGUACUUUUUACUUAAGUAAAAAAAUUUACUAGAUGUUUAAUGUAUUUAAAUAUUAAAUAUAAGCCAAAAACUUGAAAUUAUGAAGUGUAGUAGAGUAAAAAUUAUGAUAAUAUGCUUUGGAAUGUAUGUUUUCCAAAGAAAAACACUCAUAAAAAUACUUGAAAAUUUACUUGAAUGUAGAAAGUAAAAAUACUUAAGUAGUAUACACCUCUGGUAAAGGGAAAGUGACAUGAUUUUUCUGUUUUGUAGCCCAUACUCAAAAUGCGACCUCUGCAUUUAACCCAUCUUAGUGAAUAGUAACACAAGCACACGGAGAAGAUUUUUUGCAAUGCCCAGUAAGAAAUUGGUGAAAAGGUUUCUUGCAUAAAGAGACUCAAACUGGCAACCUUCAGGUUACAAGCCUGACUCUCCAACUAUGAGGCCAAAACUGCACCCCUUUAAUUGAUUCUUUUUGAUGUCAUUAUUUUUACAUUAAACGGCCAAUGUACUCUUUAACCUAUAGAUCAUUAGUGCAUCUUUAAAAGAAUGACCACAUAACAUAAAAUGUACACCUUAAUCUUAAGUAAGUUUAUAAUAGAUUGCUUUAUUAAACUGCCUUUAUAAAUGAUUUUUGAGCUCACAUUUAAGCUAUUUUAAUAUAACAUCAAUGCAAAUUUAAAGUGAGCUAUAAAGUUUGCUUUGUUUAUUAUUCUGUGUUCACGGCUGCUCUUAUAUUGUGCUGUUCUUUAUUACAAAGGGCAGCUGUGGUUUGAUCACAAACAGCCAAAUGUUGCUUUUGAUGAUGCCAAGUUUUUAAAGUGUGUGUAUGCAAAGGCCCUUAAUCCUAUAAAGUGAGCUUUCAAUGCAGUAAAGCAUAGAAAUUUUGAAAGUUUGAGUCCUAAGGAACACGCAUAAUGAAAAUGUGUGUGAUCAAGUAAAUUGCUUGAAUGAAAUGAAUAAAUGUAAAUACAAUCAUUUAGAAAUAAAAAAGAGAUUUUAUUUUUUUUCUCUGCAGGGAGAAUAGCAGAUAUUUUCUUAUGGAUGAGAAUAGUAUUCAUAACCUCAAAAGACAGUAUGUUUCAAUAUCAAAGCCCUGUUAGUGAGAAUGCCAUUUUUCAACAGUUGGGAGGGCUAUAGGACAAGCUAUACGUAUGUGCUGCAGAAUCAUCCAGACUUACUUUGAAUUUUGUUUGGGACUGGUGUUAUAUUUUCUUAUGUAACAUUAUGUUUUCAUGAUCAAAUGAAAAUCUGUAUCUGUUCUGACAAUUCAGUUUAUUGUGCUUAAUGAUCUUGAAACACUUUAUUUCACCGAAUCGAAUGCUUGUGUUGUACUGAAACAGGCCUUUUUUAUAAUACUUAAAAAAUUGUAAAUAAACAUAAUAUAAAUGGACAUCUAAAUUCCCUCCUUGUUUCAUGAUUCUAUCUUAUAGCCAAACUUCUGCUUUAUUUGUUCUUGAUUUAUAUAAUUGCAGGGGAAAGACCUGUGGCAGCUUUUGAUCCAAAAGAGAAGUUUUACAAUAAUAGAGUGCAUUGUUGUCUUGCAAACAAAAGUCUUUGUAAAUGGUUAUUUGUGCAUCUGCCAGCUUCUGGACAGUACAUUGCCACUGGUUUAUCUCAUAAAAGGUUAAUAGUUAUGAAGCCUCUAUACCUUAAAAUUUUACUUUGUCAUAUUAUUACACUGUCUCGCGUGUCCACAGCAGAGAGACAAUUAUUUUGCUCCUCAGAAAAUAUAAACAUUUGGUACAGCUAUGAUGGACCAUUAUAUUACCUGUCAAUAACCGGAUUUCCCUGCUCUCAAGGAGCCACAACAUACAAUAUAAAUUAUACAGUAAUCCCAAUGUUCACAAUUGCACGUUUUGGAUUUGGUGUUACUGUACAUUACAAAGGUCAACUGUGGCUGGAGCACACCAAGCCGAAUAUUCCCUGUGAAGACCUCAAAUUAUGUUACAUCAUCAAAGGAGAAACACUUCAUGACAGCUUCCCACUCUAUGUGUCUUCGUUUUACUUUCCUGAGGGGGAAUAUCAGAUUCACUUCAAUGGGACAUUUGUUGAUGACCUUGAAAAUGCACUGACGGCACGUUUCAACAUCACUACACAUGUAAAAAGUACUGGUAAUGAUAAAAAUUAGUUUAAUCAAGUGUGACAAAGCCACACAUGGUAUACAGCUUUAUGUUUAUUUUUUGCAGAUGUUAUAUACAUAUCCAUAUAUUAAAUAUAGUGUUAUCAAAAGGGAACAAUUAUUGAUAUACAGACAUUGGCAUGCUUGUUUGUAUACUAGAGAGUUAUUGUCUUUAUAUUGUAGAGAGAUGGAUAACAAAUAAAAUCCUGUGAAUUGCUGUUCUGUGUUAAAUAUGUGGGCAUGUCUAUUAUUCAGUAUAUUUGCAAUGUUGAAACUUUUUUUAUCUCAUGACCAAACUUCCUUUAUUUCAGCAGUUCCCUGUUCACACAACCACUGUUAUUAAACUAAGGAAAAACCUGUGACGGUUACAAAAAGAGAAGUUUAUUACAAUUGACUACAUUGUAUUAGCAGUUGUGCAUUGAGUUUAAAACCGACUUGUUAUAGACAAGGGAUAUUUUUGGGUUAAAUACAUCUUAACGUCUAGGCAGAAAAAUCAUUUAAACUUUGUUCAUAAAGAGUCAUGGUUAUGGUGCCUUUGAACCGUUUCGCUUUUCUUUAUUUUAUUGCCAUAUGGUCUUGUAUACCUGCAGCCUUUGUAGAGAAAAGAUUACUGUGCUCCUCAGAAAAUGUCAAUAUUUGGUACACAUAUGAUGGUCCCUUGUAUUACCUGUCAGCACGAAGCUACCCCUGUGCUUUUGGCUUGUCACUGUACAACAUAACUUAUACAAUAAUCCCAACAUUCACUCUGGCUCGUAUUGGAUAUCACGUCAUUGUUUACUACAAUGGUCAGAUGUGGCUGGAGCACACACAGCCACAUGUUCCUUGUGAGGAUGCCAAAAUGUGUUAUAUCAUUAAAGGAGAAACUCUUCAUGAAACCAUUCAGUUGUAUCUGAAAAGGUUUUAUGGCCCUCCGGGAGAAUAUGAGAUAAUUGCAACACUAACCAUUAUUGAUGACCUUCAAGGACCCUUGACACUAGAAUUUAAGGUCACUCUGGAUGUAAAAUCUUCUGGUAGUGAGAAAAAUAUCCUUUUCCCACAACUAGGAGUGCAAUAGGAUCAACUACAUGUGUUAUACAUCGCAACCUUUCUAUUAUCUUUGGGGGCAGAUUUGUCUUUUGUUAAGAUUUUCAGAGGUCAAAGAAUAUAAGUAUAACUGUAAUGGUCGCUCAUGGUGUGACAACAAUCGCAUCUGUUUGGUUGUAUAGUAUUUUGAACGUGUUGUAAAGAACGUCUUGAUUUAGACCCGUCUACCAUGUUUGGAACUUCUCAGCAUUAUCAGCUGCUGAGCAUUGUCAUUCAAUGAAGAACAGGCCCGCUAUUUGAUUUCCAAGUUUAAACAGACUGAAAUAGUUAAAGUAGGUUAAAAUAGGAGAAUUAACGUGGAAUGAAUGUCCUUCAUCUGCUACCAGCAGCUCUUGGUCAUUUCUUGUAAAUGUGUGAGUCAUUACCUUACAAGAGAUGCUUUCAGACCACCAGUCAUGAUUUCACAUACUCUAUGUUUAUGUUAAGCAAAGCUGGGUCUAUGGGGGUGGGGUUGUGAUUUGGCUCUCAAGACCCCCCCCCCCAAAAAAGUCAAGCCAGCCAUAAAGAACAAGAAGAGUGUCUCUUUAAACAAAUAGCAUCCCUUGUAAAAUGUAUAUAUGUAUAUAUAUAUAUAUAUAUAUAUAUAUAUAUAUAUAUAUAUAUAUAUUAAUUACAUUGAGUGUUAUGGCUUCCCACCCAAAUAUCCCGACUACCACCAGUCCAGCAAGCCCGGUACCAGCCCUGACGUUAAGGUUAAAGAAGUAGUCCACUUUAAAUAUGGGGUGCAUAUAGUAGGAAAAAAAACUUUGGUAAGUCAAUAGGACCCAUCUUUAAAGUGGACUACUCCUUUAACUUUCAAGCCAACAUUGGUCAAAAAUGGACAAGCCCAGCCAUUGGGUUAAAAACCCAGAACAUUUUUAUAUUUUACCCAAUAAUGGGUUAAAACAACCCCCUUUUUGACCUAAACAUUUUAGGGUAUAGUCAGUAAUUACUGUAUUAAGUCUAAGUGUUGUCAUAUAUACAUUCAUAUAUAUAUAUACACACACACACACACACACACACACA
Non-coding RNA from Misgurnus anguillicaudatus (oriental weatherfish), 4552 nucleotides. Lineage: Eukaryota; Metazoa; Chordata; Actinopteri; Cypriniformes; Cobitidae. The record is from RefSeq and is a predicted model, not a curated record.